RNAcentral lists this long non-coding RNA (951 nucleotides) under Equus caballus (horse). RNAcentral's name for it is "lncRNA (ENSECAG00000051280.1)". The record is from RNAcentral. Lineage: Eukaryota; Metazoa; Chordata; Mammalia; Perissodactyla; Equidae.
ACAGGCAGAGUCUGAUGACAAGUUCUUGGUCUGGUUUUCCUGGCCUCAAGAGAGCUUUAAAGUUCAAUCUGAGAUUCCUUGUAAAAAAUUCUGGCAAAGAAUAUUUAAAAGAGAUCAAUUCCUAUUCUUGCUGUACUUAUGUAAAUAAUUGGGCCAAGUUUAUUGAAACAAAACAUUUGUAAACCAAUGGGUCUUAAUUUGGCUAUUUUUGAUAAGAACAGCAUGAUUUUAGAGAGAAAAAUUAUGUUUAAAUAAAAACUAUGUACACAUUCAUUGAUAUUAGGUUCUAGUUCUGAUAAUUGUCUUUGAGGUUUUUGUUUUAUACCUGUUAACUAGACUGGAUCCUGAAUUCUUCUAGCCUCCUGAAAUAUCUAGCUACACAUCUCCAAACUAAUGUUUUCCAUUUUUCCCCAUCAUUUUCAUUUGGAAUCAUUGAAAGCUGAACCUGCCCUUUUUCCUGAAGCCCUGAAAACUGAAGUUUUGUUACAGGGAAACUGACAUCCAGAGAAUAUCAAGAAGCUGAAGUUUCCCAGAACCCAACUCCUCAGCUUCCUGGCACCAAAAUCCACAAUCCACCACAGAGGCAGACAACUAAGGACAUCCAUCUGCAGAUAUCCUUAUCUCAUUGUUCUCCUUCCUGCAAGUAGCCUCACAAGGCCAAAUGCAGGCUGGUGGAAAGACGCCAACCAACAAGCCCACAGGCUCUCCCCAUCCCUACAAGCAGCCUCAUUCCUUGCAACCUGUAAACCCCCUGGCUUCCCAUCUUUCAGGGAGACAAAAUGAAUUUGAGGGCUCACCCUUGUCUCCCUGCUGAUGUCACCCAAAAUAAAGACCCUUUCCUUGCCAUAAGCCUGGUGUUACAGUUUUUAUUUGGUCCCUCUAGUGUGGCAGGUAAAGAACCUACAUUUGUAGCCUGUAUCAGUAUUAUGUUUAGCACACAAAUAACCCAAC